GGAGUCAGCCACCAGAAAAUAGUGAUGUGACUGGAAACAGGAGUGUUUAACUUUUUUUUUUUUUUUUCUUUUUAUGGUCACAGCUGCAGCAUAUGGAAGUUCCUGCGCUAGGGGUUGAAUCCAAGCUGCAGCUGUAGGCCCACACCAUAGCAACACAAGAUCCAAGCCAGAUCCUUAACUCACUGAGCAAGGCCGGGGAUGGACCAUACAUCCUCAAGGACACUAUGUCAAGUACUUAACAUGCUGAGCCACAACAGGAACUCCUGAGGGUUUGACUUUUACUCACCACUAUCUGUACUGCUUUCAGCAGAAAUAAAGACUACACCGGUAUCACUCCCUUAGUUGGUCCCCCACCUCAUCCCCAGAAAAUGUAAGACAGUAUAAGGGAAAAUACAGAGCAUCAUCACAGGGUGUAAAGUGAGAUUUGCGGGUUGACCAGGUAAUGAGGCCACCAGAAGAGAGAAGAGUACUAGGGAACUCUUUUAUACUGCUGAGGACAAGACAGCACUUGAGGGGAUCUCAUGCUGAUAAAGAAGAUAACAGUGGCUUGUGAUUAUUCUAACGGAAACAUAGUAAUGGAGCUUUCCCAAGGAGAUGUAUUCAUUCUCUAUGAAGAAUAUUUCUCUUCCUUGUGCAAGAAGUUCAUAGAGUAAUGCAAAAUACAUACGUGAGCCAUAAAUUUGACCUUUCCAGUCAUUUGUUACAACCAUGAAGUAAUUGUUUGGCAUCAGCACAAAAAAUAAUUCAUGUAUUCGAAACCUAAGUAUAUCCUUCAGAGGACAAGUACACAUUUACUCAAUUUCUGUAGACACAGAUUUUUGUCACUGUAUACUAUAACAACAAACAUUUAAUUACUGAAAUUUAUGAAUUGUUUUCUAAUAAUAACACAUAGCUACACAGUUCCUGAGUUUAGUUCUUAUCCAGUGAUGAGUUAUUUAUUAGAUUAAAUCAAGAUGACACACUACCUUAAAGAGAGUGGAUAAAAUAGAAAGUGUUCAGACUUUGAAAUAAGUUAAAAUAUCUGUGUUCAAAUGUUUGCUAAACCAUUACUUGAUGACAAAUUAUUUUAUAUAAGGCUUAAUUUCCUCAUUGGUAAAUUUAAGAUUUUUUUUUGCAGAGAUUUGUGAGAUAUAAUUUUAAGUUCCUCACACAUAGCAGGUGCUCAAUACAUACUGCAUGGUAGCCAUGUUUUUUUUUUUUUAAUCGAAGUGUAAUUGAUAUACAAUGUUGUGUUAAUUUCUGCUAUACAGCAAAGUGAUUCAGUUAUACAUAUGUAUAUACUCUUUUAUAUGGUUUGUCAUAGAACAUUGAAUGUAGUUCUCUGUACUAUACAGUAGGACCUUGUUUGUCCCUCCAUAUAUAAAGCUUACAGCUGGUAAUUCCAACCUUCCAUUCCAUCCUUCCCCACCUCCACUUGGCAACCAAAAGUCUGUUCUCCUUGUCCAUGAGUUUGUUUCUGUUUCGUGACAGGUUCACUUGUGUCAUAGUUUAGUUCCUACAUAUGAUUUAUAUCAAAUGGUAUUUGUCUUUCUCUAUAUGACUUACUUCACUUAGUAUGAUAAUCUCUAGUUGCAUCCAUGUUGCUACAAAUGGCAUUACGUCAUUAUUUUUACGGCUGAAUAGUAUUCCAUUGUACAUAUGGAGCACAUCUUCUUAAAUCAUUCAUCUGUUGAUGAACAUUUAUGUUGUUUCCAUGGCUUGGCUAUUAUAAAUUGUACUGUUAUGAACAUAGGGGCGCAUAUAUCUUUUUGAAUUAUAGUUUUGUCUGGAUAUAUCCCCAAGAGUGGGAUUGCUAGAUCACAUAUAAUUCUAUCUUCUGUAGUUUUCUGAGGAACCUCCAUACUAUUUCCCACAGUGGUUGUACCAAUUUACAUUCCCAACAAGAAUGUAGGAGGGUUCCCUUUUCUCCACAGCCUCUCUAGCAUUCGUUAUUUGUAAAUUUGUUAAUGAUGGCCAUUGCGACCAGUAUGAGAUGAUACCUCAUUGUAGUUUUGAUUUGUAUUUCUCUAAUAAUUGGUGAUGUUGAGCAUUUUUUUAUGUGCCUAUUGGCCAU
Molecule: long non-coding RNA, 2053 nt
Filed under: Sus scrofa (pig)
Lineage: Eukaryota; Metazoa; Chordata; Mammalia; Artiodactyla; Suidae
Description: lncRNA (ENSSSCG00035007308.1)
Source: RNAcentral